GAAAUGUUAUAUAUCGUGAUUUAAAGGCAGCCAACAUCCUACUUGAUUCGAUAUUUAACACUGAAAGUUUGGCUUGUGAAUUUGUGAAGAAAACAACACCUGUUGUUUGCAUAUCUUUAAUGAUUCAUCUCCCAUGGAAGCUGCAGACAUGGAAGACACUAGAAGGAACUGGGCUUCUUUUAUUUUAAGUGUUAGUAGAAACUUGGCUACACUUAAAUAGUGUAUGUACAUUAAUGUAAUAUUUGGAUUUAAUAUAUAGUUUCAUGUAUAAAUGAUGUAUUAAAUAUUAGACUAUUUAAUAUUUGAUAUGAAUUCUAUUUUGUUAGUUUCAA
RNAcentral lists this small RNA (332 nucleotides) under Vigna angularis var. angularis. RNAcentral's name for it is "Non-protein coding transcript". Lineage: Eukaryota; Viridiplantae; Streptophyta; Magnoliopsida; Fabales; Fabaceae. The record is from RNAcentral.